RNAcentral lists this ribosomal RNA (233 nucleotides) under uncultured bacterium. RNAcentral describes it as "partial 16S ribosomal RNA". It matches the Rfam family "Bacterial small subunit ribosomal RNA", at positions 794 to 1022 of the family's 1533-position model. The record is from RNAcentral.
UCCACGCCGUAAACGAUGAGUACUAGCUGUUGGUCCUGGUGUAAAAGGAUUAGUGGCGCAGCUAACGCAUUAAGUACUCCGCCUGGGGAUUACGGUCGCAAGACUAAAACUCAAAGGAAUUGACGGGGACCCGCACAAGCGGUGGAGCAUGUGGUUUAAUUCGAUGCAACGCGAAGAACCUUACCUCCCCUUGACAUACAGAGAACCUUACCAGAGAUGGUUCGGUGCCUUUC